GGCCGACUAGCUCAGUUGGUUAGAGCGUCGUGCUAAUACCACAUGGGUUUACGCGAAGGUCUUGGGUUCGAUCCCCACGUUGGCCA
Molecule: non-coding RNA, 86 nt
Organism: Pisolithus thermaeus
Lineage: Eukaryota; Fungi; Basidiomycota; Agaricomycetes; Boletales; Pisolithaceae
Source: the annotation of a GenBank genome assembly